UAAAUGUUAAAUUUAUUAAUAUAGAAGUGAAAGAAGAGGGAAAAUGAGUUUUUGUAAAAUAUACAAAACAUCCUAUUGCAUUCUUUAAUACAACUGGAAAUUUUACUUUAGCCAGUGUAAAAAUAGUAGAACCAUGCAACUUCAAGCUCUUCGCAGAAGUGAUGAGCAUGUGAUAUAUCAAUGUAUAUAAUUAGACAUUGGUUAUUAGCUGUUACCCUGCAUAAACACAUCUGGUACUCAUGCAUUGCCUUCUAGGCUAAAAAUGUCAACGUUAGAUAUUCAGUAAACUCAAUUGGAAAGAUCUAUAUAAUAUUAGAAUUUCCUAAGAAAAGCCAUGUCCCUAGGAUAGAAAUUUACCUCAAUAACCAUAUAACACAAAACACUUGGCACAGUAGCAAAGAAGUUGCCGAAGUGUUCUAGUCUCAUCCAAUUGUAAGCUUUGUCUUUCAUGUUCUACUCAAAUCAUUUUUCAUUUGUUUCUUUUGGUGUAAUUUUGAAAUGAUUCUGAUAUAUUUCAGGUCAAAUUAAUAACACCCAGUUGCAAAUAUCUCUUCCAACGUUUUAUACAUAUAUCUACUUUGAAAUUUAAACCAAUAGUAUAUAAAGCCUAAGAAUGAACAUUGAUUUGACAAAUUCAGAGAAAUGGAGUAUAAAACAGAUGUGAUGUUGCAAAAUUUCUGUCAAUUUUCUGGUAUAAUACUGAAGUAUCAGCCUUCAAUUUCUAAACACAGUUGUGAGCUUAUAACUGGAUGUGACAUGUAUUAAAGAUUUAGAACAAAGCUAAUUCUUUGCAUUAAGUAAGGGUAUAGGAUCAUGAGUGCUGUAGUGCCGUACCUCAGGCACCUGUAACUAAAGCUCUUUAAAGAAAAUGAAGGCGUACCCAGUAAUCCAUGUUUAGUGCAUAAGUAUUAAAAGGUACAUAUUCUGAAGUUUUAUGAAGAUAAUUCUGAAGAUUUAUGAAGACUCUAUGCUUUUUCAUUUUAAAGAGCAGCAGGUCUUAAAAUGUGUCUUACUAGCUUUGAACUGGGAAUAAUGUUCAAGUCUGCACCCAGCGAGUCCUUUACAUUCAAGAUCACACUGGACAGUGCAGGACAAACACGUCAUAAACUAGAAUGUUUUGCGGAUGCACGUAACUUUGCCAUGUCCUCUGCUAUAGAACUGGAUCUAUGUGCCCUUAAGAAGGGAGAAGAAAAGCAGUUAAAUAGAAAUAAGAAAAUAUGAUAACUGUAUUAUGUUAGAACAUGUAGCUUCAGAGAUGUUAUUAACUCUUAUUUCGUAUAGAAAAACUGGAAGGAGAGAAUGGUGAACAUGAAUGAAAUAAUCCACUUUUAGACUUACCAAGAUGUUUCUUGAGUAUCCUAUCCACUUGUCUUACCCAUGAACAAAUAUUCAUUCACAACACAGACGUUUCUGUAGCACUUGAUCUGUAGUUAGAUUGGAUCCCGGGAAAAAUACUUCUGGACACAGG
Long non-coding RNA from Bos taurus (domestic cattle), 1468 nucleotides. Lineage: Eukaryota; Metazoa; Chordata; Mammalia; Artiodactyla; Bovidae. The record is from Ensembl.